UACAGAGGUCCCGAGCGUUGUUCGGAUUCAUUGGGCGUAAAGGGUGCGUAGGCGGCGGGGAAAGUCUGAUGUGAAAUCCUGGGGCUCAACCCUGGAACUGCAUUGGAUACUUCCUUGCUAGAGUACUGGAGAGGAAACUGGAAUUUACGGUGUAGCAGUGAAAUGCGUAGAGAUCGUAAGGAAGACCAGUGGCGAAGGCGAGGUUCUGGACAGUUACUGACGCUGAGGCACGAAGGCCAGGGGAGCAAACGGG
Molecule: ribosomal RNA, 253 nt
Filed under: uncultured bacterium
Lineage: Bacteria
Description: partial 16S ribosomal RNA
Rfam family: Bacterial small subunit ribosomal RNA
Source: RNAcentral